GAGUUUGAUCUUGGCUCAGAACGAACGCUGGCGGCAUGCCUAACACAUGCAAGUCGAACGAAGGCUUCGGCCUUAGUGGCGCACGGGUGCGUAACGCGUGGGAAUCUGCCUUUAGGUUCGGAAUAACUCCUCGAAAGGGGUGCUAAUACCGGAUGAUGUCGCAAGACCAAAGAUUUAUCGCCUGAAGAUGAGCCCGCGUAAGAUUAGCUAGUUGGUGAGGUAACGGCUCACCAAGGCGACGAUCAGUAGCUGGUCUGAGAGGAUGAUCAGCCUCACUGGGACUGAGACACGGCCCAGACUCCUACGGGAGGCAGCAGUGGGGAAUAUUGGACAAUGGGCGCAAGCCUGAUCCAGCCAUGCCGCGUGGAUGAUGAAGGCCCUAGGGUUGUAAAGUCCUUUUAACGGGGAAGAUAAUGGCGGUACCCGUAGAAUAAGCCCCGGCUAACUUCGUGCCAGCAGCCGCCGU
RNAcentral lists this ribosomal RNA (466 nucleotides) under uncultured Alphaproteobacteria bacterium. RNAcentral's name for it is "bacterial SSU rRNA". It matches the Rfam family "Bacterial small subunit ribosomal RNA", at positions 9 to 521 of the family's 1533-position model. Lineage: Bacteria; Pseudomonadati; Pseudomonadota; Alphaproteobacteria. The record is from RNAcentral.